This 253-nucleotide ribosomal RNA is filed under the name uncultured bacterium. RNAcentral describes it as "partial 16S ribosomal RNA". It matches the Rfam family "Bacterial small subunit ribosomal RNA", at positions 524 to 776 of the family's 1533-position model. The record is from RNAcentral.
UACGAAGGGGGCUAGCGUUUUUCGGAAUUACUGGGCGUAAAGCGCGUGUAGGCGGGCCGUUAAGUCGGGGGUGAAAGCCCAGAGCUCAACUCUGGAACUGCCUUCGAUACUGGCGGCCUGGAGCAUGAUAGAGGCGAGUGGAAUUGCGAGUGUAGAGGUGAAAUUCGUAGAUAUUCGCAGGAACACCAGUGGCGAAGGCGACUCGCUGGAUCAUUGCUGCCGCUGAGACGCGAAAGCGUGGGGAGCAAACAGG